Molecule: RNA transcript, 2518 nt
Organism: Pyrus x bretschneideri (Chinese white pear)
Lineage: Eukaryota; Viridiplantae; Streptophyta; Magnoliopsida; Rosales; Rosaceae
Exons: 5
Source: RefSeq, a predicted model, not a curated record
UGUCAAAUGAGUUCCAGUUUUGUGACGCGUGGGAUCCUCGACGAGAAGCUACGCUUUUUCCAGUUCCAUUCACUGAUCUCAGAUGGGGAUCCCCUCUCUGCUCUCCUCUCCUCUCAUCUCCUCUCAUCUCUCACUCUUCCUCUCUCAUUCUCUACUGGAAAAUCCAUAAUCUUUCAUCUUCCUCUGCUCUUCCUUUCUUUCAGCACCCCAUCUCUCUCUCCGUGGAGCCUCCAAACCAAGUAGUCAGAUCAACAAGCUUCAAACAUGGCGGGCGCGUACUGGAGGUACAGCGACGGUGGACAACCUCCGCCGUCGUCGAAGAAUUUAAUCAUCGGAAAGCGUCCUCCGUGUGAUUACGGAAGAUGUUCAACGAAUGGUGGAUACUGGUUUGAAGGCAUAUAGAUUUUCCAUCUCAUGGUCAAGACUUAUCCCAAAUGGAACAGGACCUGUCAAUCCAAGGAUGUAAAAUAUUACAGCAAUCUUAUUAGUGAACUGAUCAGCCAUGGUAACAGUCUAUCUAAAUUAUGUUUCUACAGUUUCCUGCAUUAAUAAUUUUAGUAGCUGUGUCACUUAUUAUUAAUAAUUUAGUAGCUAUAGUGAUCUACAAUUCUUUAUGUUCAUAAUUAAUUAAGUUGUUUGUUUCAACCAAGAGUCGAAUCACGUGUUAUUUAACACUACAGUGAUCUCUCGCAGGCAAUUGGUGAUGAGUGUGGAGGAUCGGUUAGUAGAAAAACUAUGUUAGUUUCUAACAUUUAUGGGUGAGUUUUAAAUGGGACAUGCAGAAAAUGGGCUUUGAGAUGAUCAUGAUGGAACACUUUUGUGGAUGCAGAAAAGACUUCACUGCAUCUGUAGAUGCGCGGCCAAAAAACUUUGAGGAUAGAGUUUUGCAUUGGACUACAAUGAAUGAGCCUAAUGUUUUUUUACUUGCAGUUUAAAAUAUUGGAUUUCUUCCGCCACAAUGAUAUUCUGCUCCAUUUGGUGUCAACUGUUCUUGAGGACAAAUAUGAAAUUUAUAUUGAGAAUAUCAGGAAAAAGAAGGUUAGAAAUCACAUUGCGAGGUGUCACUCCAAAAGCUUUUUGCUUCAAAAAUUUAAAACCGUUGGCAACGGCAAUACUUGCCACUUUCACAAAUCUCGAGGUUAAACAAUUCCAAGGUUUCAACUUUUUUUUAAUUUUUUUUCAUUCUUCAUACUCCAUUUUUAAUAUUACAACUGUCUCAACUAUGUUUUUCAUCAACCCAAAUAUACCUGAAUUGGAACUAUUCAAAACGAUGUAUGAUUUAUUUUGUCAUAAACUAUUAAAUCAAGUGCCUUUGUUAUUUUUAUAAACCCUCUAUAAAUCUGCUAUGCGGCGCCAUUUAUACGUUUUUAAUUAUAAUUGACUAAUUUGUGAUUGUGUUUGAUUAGGGAAAUGCAGAGAGACGGCGUUCCCAGUAAGUUUAGCAGAAAUACCAAAGAAAAUGAGGCAAUCCAAAUCAAUGGUGUACAAGGUGUUCGAAACUCAAUGAAAAAUGAGAAAGGAGCUGUAGUUGAUCAGAAAGAGCUGCAGUUUUUGAACAAAAAUUCUCCAUGAUGCUGAUUUGCUUGCGGCAGUGUUAAGGUAAAUUUUGUUACCUUCCAGAAUAAUUUUCAAUGAAUUAUGUCUUCUGAGUAGUAUUGAAGCCGGACAUUGUAUCUUUGAGAAAGUUUAUGUAUAGUUUCCGCAAAAGUUUAUUUUGGGAGUAGCUUAUAUCCGUAUAUGGAGUUUUGCUUUUUUCCACUGUGAAAUCAAACCCUUCUAUGCAGUCUCUUACAUUAUUGAUAUGCUCAUCUCCCAAAAUGUUCAUUUCUCAUCUGAAGGCAGAUUAGAGAAAUCAACAUUCUAAGUGGUCAAAAAUGUUGCCCAAGGUAUUUAUAGGUCUUGAGUCAAUCAGUGGUAUGCCUUCAGCUUUGGGACUGAGAGCUUUGGCAUGUGUUCGGCAUCUAGAUGAAAGACUCAGGAUCCAGAUGAUAGUUGGUUUAACCUCUCCCUUGGUAGGUAAACUUAAUUUGGAAGUAAAGCAACUCAAUGUUUUUCAUUUGUUUUUUUAGGCAAGAAUGCUACUAGAGUAAUGGCAGAUUUAUCAUGUGAGUGUCAUUGAAGUUUUAUCUUGAAUCUAAACAAGUUUUUGUCAAUUGUUAUUUUCAAAGGUUGUGACAGUUUGCUGGCCUAGCAGAAAUUUUUGUGAUCAUAAAACCGUCAUGUGAUAUUACUAUUGUGAAUGUUAUGCAACGAAAAAAGUUUGUAAAAGGUUGCUGAUCGGCCUUUGCUGCCACCAAAAUAAUGUAUGUAAAAAGUUGCUGAUCAACGAUAAUAGCUAGCUUGCAAUUUUUUUUUUAAUGUAUCCUAUUAAAUGGAUUUGCGAGCUGCAAUAGUACUUAAUUAUUUUAGCAAUUUACAUUAGCAGCUUUUAAUUUUUCACAUUGUAACCAAGAAGCAUGUAUAUCAUGAAAAAUAAAAGAAGUUCUGAAGUGACGAUCGAAGAAUUUAAAAGUGCAGU